Molecule: ribosomal RNA, 33 nt
Filed under: Amphibromus neesii
Lineage: Eukaryota; Viridiplantae; Streptophyta; Magnoliopsida; Poales; Poaceae
Description: partial 18S ribosomal RNA
Source: RNAcentral
UACCUGAUUGAUCCUGCCAGUAGUCAUAUGCUU